GAUGAAGAACGCAGCGAAACGCGAUAAGUAAUGUGAAUUGCAGAAUUCAGUGAAUCAUCGAAUCUUUGAACGCACAUUGCGCCCGCUGGUAUUCCGGCGGGCAUGCCUGUUCGAGCGUCAUUUCAACCCUCAAGCCCCCGGGUUUGGUGUUGGGGAUCGGCUCUGCCUUCUGGCGGUGCCGCCCCCGAAAUACAUUGGCGGUCUCGCUGCAGCCUCCAUUGCGUAGUAGCUAACACCUCGCAACUGGAACGCGGCGCGGCCAUGCCGUAAAACCCCAACUUCUGAAUGUUGACCUCGGAUCAGGUAGGAAUACCCGCUGAACUUAAGCAUAUCAAUAAGCGGAGGA
This 346-nucleotide unclassified non-coding RNA is filed under the name soil metagenome. Its description in RNAcentral is "partial contains 5.8S ribosomal RNA, internal transcribed spacer 2, and large subunit ribosomal RNA". The stretch from base 1 to 120 matches the Rfam family "5.8S ribosomal RNA", at positions 35 to 154 of the family's 154-position model. The record is from RNAcentral.